This is a long non-coding RNA of Panthera uncia (snow leopard), 525 nucleotides long. RefSeq lists it as uncharacterized. The record is from RefSeq and is a predicted model, not a curated record. The transcript has 3 exons. Lineage: Eukaryota; Metazoa; Chordata; Mammalia; Carnivora; Felidae.
GAGAGGGAGAGAGAGAGAGAGACGAAGCUGGUUCUGGAAGUUGGGGGACCUCCUUCUUCUCUCCCUUUGGAAUCUGGAAUCUCACAAAAGCCUGUUUGGGGGAAGGUCAUUGGUAUCUAACAUAUUGCUCAGGGAAACCAUGAGGUUCUAUAGCCUUAACACACGGAGGAAGAACCCAGUCUGAUGUUUUAGGGCUCCCCGCGCCGGGUGAAUUUCUCCAUAGCGGCACCAGAGGGCGCCCGAACUGAGGGAAAGGCCUCGGGACGCCAAGAGGACCCAAGCAGGUGCUACCACGCCGGCGACCCAGACCUCCCUGGCUCUGAACCUUGAAGGAAAAACAGAACUGCGUUCCUCAGCUCUAUCCUUUCUGCUCAUUUCCUGUCACCCAAGAUGUGAUUUUUCAGUGGUGGUCUCCAUUUUUAUUCACAUAUGGCUGCUAGAUCAAGGGACUGACAUUAUCUAGAAAUCUGUGAAGUAAAAAACAUCCAGGACCCAUUCCCUGGGGGCAGAAAAAAGAGAGUAGAA